AAAGGCCGAAAUUUUUGUUGAGAUCCACUCUUCAAUCCAGAAACUUUCUCUGGAGUAGUUGCCGUACCAGUUGCCGUAGCAGUACUCGUAGCAGUACGCGUAGCAGUCACAUUCUUCACAUCAGUUGCAGGCUUCACUGCAAUCUUUCCAUUUGCAGCAUUCCUUGCAGACAUCUUCACUUCUGGCUUUGUAGCAGACGUAGCUACAUCCUUAGUUUUUUCUGAUAAUACAAAAUCACCUUCAGCUUUAGAACAUUCUCCUUGAUAUCCAAGGCCGCAUCUAUCACUUUUU
This 291-nucleotide long non-coding RNA is filed under the name Brassica rapa (field mustard). RNAcentral describes it as "long non-coding RNA (BRAP_LNC000342)". Lineage: Eukaryota; Viridiplantae; Streptophyta; Magnoliopsida; Brassicales; Brassicaceae. The record is from RNAcentral.